UACGUAGGGGGCAAGCGUUGUCCGGAAUCAUUGGGCGUAAAGCGCGUGUAGGCGGCCACGUUAGUCCGCUCUGAAAGCCCGGGGCUCAACCCCGGGAGGCGGGUGGAUACUGCGUGGCUCGAGUCCGGAAGAGGCGAGUGGAAUUCCUGGUGUAGCGGUGAAAUGCGCAGAUAUCAGGAGGAACACCAAUGGUGAAGGCAGCUCGCGGGGACGUGACUGACGAUGAGACGCGAAAGCGUGGGGAGCAAACAGG
RNAcentral lists this ribosomal RNA (253 nucleotides) under uncultured bacterium. Its description in RNAcentral is "partial 16S ribosomal RNA". It matches the Rfam family "Bacterial small subunit ribosomal RNA", at positions 524 to 776 of the family's 1533-position model. The record is from RNAcentral.